UUAAAAUGAGAGUUUGAUCCUGGCUCAGGACGAACGCUGGCGGCGUGCCUAAUACAUGCAAGUCGAACGAAACUUUCUUACACCGAAUGCUUGCAUUCACCGUAAGAAGUUGAGUGGCGGACGGGUGAGUAACACGUGGGUAACCUGCCUAAAAGAAGGGGAUAACACUUGGAAACAGGUGCUAAUACCGUAUAUCUCUAAGGAUCGCAUGAUUUUUAGAUGAAAGAUGGUUCUGCUAUCGCUUUUAGAUGGACCCGCGGCGUAUUAACUAGUUGGUGGGGUAACGGCCUACCAAGGUGAUGAUACGUAGCCGAACUGAGAGGUUGAUCGGCCACAUUGGGACUGAGACACGGCCCAAACUCCUACGGGAGGCAGCAGUAGGGAAUCUUCCACAAUGGACGCAAGUCUGAUGGAGCAACGCCGCGUGAGUGAAGAAGGUCUUCGGAUCGUAAAACUCUGUUGUUAGAGAAGAACACGAGUGAGAGUAACUGUUUAUUCGAUGACGGUAUCUAACCAGCAAGUCACGGCUAACUACGUGCCAGCAGCCGAGGUAAUACGUAGGUGGCAAGCGUUGUCCGGAUUUAUUGGGCGUAAAGGGAACGCAGGCGGUCUUUUAAGUCUGAUGUGAAAGCCUUCGGCUUAACCGGAGUAGUGCAUUGGAAACUGGAAGACUUGAGUGCAGAAGAGGAGAGUGGAACUCCAUGUGUAGCGGUGAAAUGCGUAGAUAUAUGGAAGAACACCAGUGGCGAAAGCGGCUCUCUGGUCUGUAACUGACGCUGAGGUUCGAAAGCGUGGGUAGCAAACAGGAUUAGAUACCCUGGUAGUCCACGCCGUAAACGAUGAAUGCUAGGUGUUGGAGGGUUUCCGCCCUUCAGUGCCGCAGCUAACGCAAUAAGCAUUCCGCCUGGGGAGUACGACCGCAAGGUUGAAACUCAAAGGAAUUGACGGGGGCCCGCACAAGCGGUGGAGCAUGUGGUUUAAUUCGAAGCAACGCGA
RNAcentral lists this ribosomal RNA (996 nucleotides) under Ligilactobacillus salivarius. RNAcentral describes it as "bacterial SSU rRNA". It matches the Rfam family "Bacterial small subunit ribosomal RNA", at positions 1 to 964 of the family's 1533-position model. Lineage: Bacteria; Bacillati; Bacillota; Bacilli; Lactobacillales; Lactobacillaceae. The record is from RNAcentral.